RNAcentral lists this long non-coding RNA (790 nucleotides) under Rattus norvegicus (Norway rat). RNAcentral's name for it is "long non-coding RNA NONRATT007506". Lineage: Eukaryota; Metazoa; Chordata; Mammalia; Rodentia; Muridae. The record is from RNAcentral.
CCCCAGUGCAGAGAACAAAAACAACGGUCGCUCGCUCUCUCCGCAAAACAAACACCAGCUCCAGCUAGAAGAAGGCAAGACACGGCCCAGGACUUGGCUUCUGGCUGCAAACAUCGCGUUCCCCAAGCUCCGGGUGCCGCGCGGAGCGCGUGGGAGCCGUGGGUGCUCCGCGCCCGGGCCGCGCCACCGCCUUCCUAGCGCUCGCCCCCAUCUUCCUUCCUCGCCCGGAGCCCUCGCUCCAGGCUGCCCAAAGCGCUAAAUUUAAACGGCUCGCGCUCUGCAAACUCCGCAGACUCGAGGGCGCCGAGGCCUGGGAGGCGGGGAGCUGCGGGCGGGUCGGGGCGUAGGGUGAGAGUGUGUGUGCGUAUGUGUGUGUGUGUUGGGGGGACACCGGCGCCGCGCCGCCCCGGGAGGAGACGGCGGCCCGCUCCGCGCUGCACAAUGGAGCUCGCGCUCUGCCCGCCGCCGCCGGCAUCACGGCCCCGGCGCGCGGGAAGCCGCUUUCAUGUGACUUGCACAAAAAAACGAAAUGGCUUCUGGGGCCGGCUGCGAACCCCCCUCUCCCGAGAGCCGAGCUCGGAGCUCCGGGCUCCGGGCUGCAGCCGCCACCGCCACCGCCACUGCCUCCGCCGCCGCGCCAGGUGGGCGACCGGCGCCAAGCACACCUGGGCAGCGGACGCAGCCCCCGCGGGGCGCAGGUGACCCCGGCCGCGCGCCCUCGCCAACUCCGGGCCCGGGGCCGCUGCGCCCCGCCGCUCUGCGCGCUGGGUCCCGGCUUGCUGGCGGCCGC